UUCGCUGACGAGUGGCGGACGGGUGAGUAAUGCUUGGGAACUUGCCUUUAGGUGGGGGAUAACAGUUGGAAACGACUGCUAAUACCGCAUAAUGUCUACGGACCAAAGGGGGCUUCGGCUCCCGCCUUGAGAGAGGCCCAAGUGAGAUUAGCUAGUUGGUGGGGUAAAGGCCUACCAAGGCAACGAUCUCUAGCUGUUCUGAGAGGAAGAUCAGCCACACUGGGACUGAGACACGGCCCAGACUCCUACGGGAGGCAGCAGUGGGGAAUAUUGCACAAUGGGGGAAACCCUGAUGCAGCCAUGCCGCGUGUGUGAAGAAGGCCUUCGGGUUGUAAAGCACUUUCAGUUGUGAGGAAAGGUUGGUAGUUAAUACCUGCCAGCUGUGACGUUAACAACAGAAGAAGCACCGGCUAACUCCGUGCCAGCAGCCGCGGUAAUACGGAGGGUGCGAGCGUUAAUCGGAAUUACUGGGCGUAAAGCGCACGCAGGCGGCUUGUUAAGCUAGAGGUGAAAGCCCCGCGCUCAACGUGGGAACUGCCUUUAGAACUGGCAGGCUAGAGUCUUGGAGAGGGGAGUGGAAUUCCAGGUGUAGCGGUGAAAUGCGUAGAUAUCUGGAGGAACAUCAGUGGCGAAGGCGGCUCCCUGGCCAAAGACUGACGCUCAUGUGCGAAAGUGUGGGUAGCGAACAGGAUUAGAUACCCUGGUAGUCCACACCGUAAACGCUGUCUACUAGCUGUUUGUGUAUUUAAUACGUGAGUAGCGAAGCUAACGCGCUAAGUAGACCGCCUGGGGAGUACGGCCGCAAGGUUAAAACUCAAAUGAAUUGACGGGGGCCCGCACAAGCGGUGGAGCAUGUGGUUUAAUUCGAUGCAACGCGAAGAACCUUACCUACUCUUGACAUCCAG
RNAcentral lists this ribosomal RNA (905 nucleotides) under uncultured bacterium. RNAcentral's name for it is "bacterial SSU rRNA". It matches the Rfam family "Bacterial small subunit ribosomal RNA", at positions 84 to 991 of the family's 1533-position model. The record is from RNAcentral.